Molecule: small nucleolar RNA, 71 nt
Organism: Macaca fascicularis (crab-eating macaque)
Lineage: Eukaryota; Metazoa; Chordata; Mammalia; Primates; Cercopithecidae
Source: Ensembl
UGGAUCAAUGAUGAGAAAGUAUCAUGAAUGAGGGAUUAUGAAUAAUCUAUUUUUGUGAACCUGAGGUCAAA